UAGGGAAUCUUCGGCAAUGGACGAAAGUCUGACCUAGCAACGCCGCGUGAGUGAAGAAGGUUUUCGGAUCGUAAAACUCUGUUGUUAGAGAAGAACAAGGACGUUAGUAACUGAACGUCCCCUGACGGUAUCUAACCAGAAAGCCACGGCUAACUACGUGCCAGCAGCCACGGUAAUACGUAGGUGGCAAGCGUUGUCCGGAUUUAUUGGGCGUAAAGCGAGCGCAGGCGGUUUCUUAAGUCUGAUGUGAAAGCCCCCGGCUCAACCGGGGAGGGUAAUUGGAAACUGGGAGACUUGAGUGCAGAAGAGGAGAGUGGAAUUCCAUGUGUAGCGGUGAAAUGCGUAGAUAUAUGGAGGAACACCAGUGGCGAAGGCGGCUAUCUGGUAUGUAACUGACGCUGAGGCUCGAAAGCGUGGGGAGCAAACAGG
RNAcentral lists this ribosomal RNA (429 nucleotides) under Gemmatimonadota bacterium. Its description in RNAcentral is "Gemmatimonadetes bacterium partial 16S ribosomal RNA". It matches the Rfam family "Bacterial small subunit ribosomal RNA", at positions 355 to 776 of the family's 1533-position model. Lineage: Bacteria; Pseudomonadati; Gemmatimonadota. The record is from RNAcentral.